UUUUUUUGUUAUAUAAAACUUGCAUAAACAUUCAUCCUGUUAGUGUGAUUUCAAAUAAGUUUUCAUUUUUAUUUUUUUUUUUAACAUUAUACAUUUAAUUAAAGUGAGAAGUAUCAUAUAGCAUAAACAAAUAAAUUAAACACAUACAAAGUAAUAAAAAAAAAAAAAAAAAAAAAAAAAAAAAAAAAAAAAAAAAAAAAAAACAUGAAAAGGUAAGGUAAUGUAGAAUAGGGUAAAAUGGCAUUGUUAGAAGCUAAAAACAUAUACAUAUAUAUAUAUUGCAGAACUUUUUUGACUUAUUAAAAAAAAAAAAAAUUAUGUCAUAACAAUUUUAUUGAUGAGUUAAAAUUAAUAGUAAAUAAAACCACAUAUAUUAUUUUAUUUGCUCAUCCAUUCGUUUGCUCAUUCAUCCGAUUGCUUAUUUACUUAUUUUUAUUUUUUUAACUUAAAAGGAUAGUAGUAAUUUAAUUUAAGUUUUUUUACUUCUUGAAGAUAAUAAACAACUAAAUUUUUCUUACACGAAAAAUCCUGAAUAUUUUAAAACCACCUUUUUCUUCAUUUAUAAAUAUAUAUACAUGCACACACUAUGGAAGAAACACAAAUUGCGAGGGUUUUGGAUUUAUUUAAUUUAAAAAAAAAAUGAUAUGGGUUAUAUUGAUAAGCAAGAGCUCAUAACAAUACUGAAAUCUUUAGGGUUUAUAAUAUGUAAUGAUAUGUUCGUAAAUAAUAAAAAUUUCUACACGAUUGAUGAUUUAAAUGACUUUGUUUAUAAACUUAAAGUAAUUAUUAUGCGAAGAAGAAAGUUGAAAAAUGUAUUCAAUUUUUAAACCCUAACAGUAUGUUUAAAUCUUUUUCUUUUUUGUUAUUUUAUCACUUAAUACUAAUUUUUUUUAUUAUUUUUACUUUGCCAUUACAACAUAGGUUU
Molecule: long non-coding RNA, 925 nt
Filed under: Piliocolobus tephrosceles (Ugandan red Colobus)
Lineage: Eukaryota; Metazoa; Chordata; Mammalia; Primates; Cercopithecidae
Description: lncRNA (ENSPTEG00000020128.1)
Source: RNAcentral